RNAcentral lists this ribosomal RNA (440 nucleotides) under uncultured Spirochaeta sp. RNAcentral's name for it is "bacterial SSU rRNA". It matches the Rfam family "Bacterial small subunit ribosomal RNA", at positions 941 to 1382 of the family's 1533-position model. The record is from RNAcentral. Lineage: Bacteria; Pseudomonadati; Spirochaetota; Spirochaetia; Spirochaetales; Spirochaetaceae.
GUGGUUUAAGUUCGAUGAUACGCGAGAAACCUUACCAGGGCUUGACAUAUACAGGAAUGUUGUAGAGAUACAGCAGCCGCUUGCGGUCUGUAUACAGGUGCUGCAUGGCUGUCGUCAGCUCGUGCUGUGAAGUGUUGGGUUAAGUCCCGCAACGAGCGCAACCCUAUCAUCUGUUGCCAGCAUUUAAGGUGGGGACUCAGAUGAGACUGCCGGUGACAAACCGGAGGAAGGUGGGGACGACGUCAAGUCAUCAUGGCCCUUAUGUCCUGGGCUACACACGUGCUACAAUGGCCGGUACAGAGUGAAGCGAAACCGCGAGGUGAAGCAAAACGCAGAAAGCCGGUCUCAGUACGGAUUGGAGUCUGAAACUCGACUUCAUGAAGUUGGAAUCGCUAGUAAUCGCGCAUCAGCAUGGCGCGGUGAAUACGUUCCCGGGCCUU